RNAcentral lists this ribosomal RNA (253 nucleotides) under uncultured bacterium. RNAcentral's name for it is "partial 16S ribosomal RNA". It matches the Rfam family "Bacterial small subunit ribosomal RNA", at positions 524 to 776 of the family's 1533-position model. The record is from RNAcentral.
UACAGAGGGUGCGAGCGUUGUCCGGAAUCACUGGGCGUAAAGGGCGCGUAGGCGGCUUGGUAAGGUUGCGGUGAAAGCCCGGGGCUCAACCCCGGAACGGCAUUUGAAACUACAUUUCUAGAGGAUAGGCGGAGAAAACGGAAUUCCACAAGUAGCGGUGAAAUGCGUAGAUAUGUGGAAGAACACCGGUGGCGAAGGCGGUUUUCUAGCUUAUUCCUGACGCUGAGGCCCGAAAGCAAGGGGAGCAAACAGG